RNAcentral lists this unclassified non-coding RNA (993 nucleotides) under Hevea brasiliensis (rubber tree). Lineage: Eukaryota; Viridiplantae; Streptophyta; Magnoliopsida; Malpighiales; Euphorbiaceae. The record is from RNAcentral.
AGGGUUAUAGCCGCAAGAAAUAUGUAAGCAUUUCCAAACUUUGGACUCACUAAUGUUUUCUGUGUAUAAGUUAGUUGCAAGUUCAUUAAUUUAUAUGCUUUGUGACACAACAUGAAAUCCUUUUUCCUUAUUUUGUCCAAAAAUGUCUAUUCUCAAAUUUGAUUUGUUGAUUUCCGUUUGUCUAAACAAUUACCAGGUGCAUUUUAUAAUUUCUUCUAAAGCAAUUGUCUUAUAUGCAUUAUUCUUUGUAUGCUUGCUGUGUUUUUGUUUCCAAAUAUUAAAAUUGCAACUUAUUUUUUGUUGCAACGUAGUUCAAUUAUGGAUUGAUUAUCGGACUGAAGGCUUUGAAGAUUAAUUAGGAGAAAAAGUCUUGUACGUAAUCACAGACAUAGUGUACUAAUUCUUCUUUUCUAUUUUUUCUUUUUCCAGCAAAUAGUGUGCUUGGUUGUAGAUUUGUCGGUUAAUAAAACAUAGUUGCUCAAAUUGAGAUUAGCUUGGGAACAAGUUGAAAAGUUUUGCUUGGGGCUAAAACCAGUUAGUUACCAAUUCGAUCAAUGUGAUAUGAAAGUGAGCUGGGUUCUGGAAUCCAAUCUUUUAGGUGCAAUUCAUCUUGAAAUAAGAGGUGCUUAGUCAAUAUUCAUUUUAAAACUGGUCCUGGAAGAUUCAUGGAGGAUGCUUCUUUAUUUUUAUUUUUGUUUGCUAGUGAAACACUAUAGAUUCCGGGCUUUCAGUUAUCUAUGAAGUAACAUUUUCUGAACAGUUCCAUAGCGCAUAAUGAUUUUAUUAUCAAACAAAUUUUAAUUUUCUUGAUGAUUCUUUGUUCUUCACUCUCUGUGUACUAUUCAUUCUAAGUACAAACCCAGGAGAUAUGCCAGAGAAAUUGUGUGCUUACAGUUUAUGUUUGUAUGCAACAAAAGUGCAGCAUGAAUUUCAGUACUAUGUGGGCGUAGACCUAAUUCAGCAUCAACAAUUCAAGUGCCACAGAUGGUCUCC